Molecule: ribosomal RNA, 482 nt
Filed under: uncultured bacterium
Lineage: Bacteria
Description: partial 16S ribosomal RNA
Rfam family: Bacterial small subunit ribosomal RNA
Source: RNAcentral
AUUGAACGCUGGCGGCAUGCUUUAUACAUGCAAGUCGAACGGUAACAGGCCGCAAGGUGCUGACGAGUGGCGAACGGGUGAGUAAUGCAUCGGAACGUGCCCAGUCGUGGGGGAUAACUACUCGAAAGAGUAGCUAAUACCGCAUACGAUCUAUGGAUGAAAGCGGGGGACCGUAAGGCCUCGCGCGAUUGGGGCGGCCGAUGUCAGAUUAGGUAGUUGGUGGGGUAAAGGCUCACCAAGCCAACAAUCUGUAGCUGGUCUGAGAGGACGACCAGCCACACUGGGACUGAGACACGGCCCAGACUCCUACGGGAGGCAGCAGUGGGGAAUUUUGGACAAUGGGCGCAAGCCUGAUCCAGCAAUGCCGCGUGCAGGAAGAAGGCCUUCGGGUUGUAAACUGCUUUUGUACGGAACGAAACGGCUCUGGUUAAUACCCGGGGCUAAUGACGGUACCGUAAGAAUAAGCACCGGCUAACUACGUG